RNAcentral lists this ribosomal RNA (689 nucleotides) under uncultured Bacilli bacterium. RNAcentral's name for it is "bacterial SSU rRNA". It matches the Rfam family "Bacterial small subunit ribosomal RNA", at positions 74 to 749 of the family's 1533-position model. The record is from RNAcentral. Lineage: Bacteria; Bacillati; Bacillota; Bacilli.
UGGUGCUUGCACCGAGCGGAUGAGUUGCGAACGGGUGAGUAACGCGUAGGUAACCUGCCUCUUAGCGGGGGAUAACUAUUGGAAACGAUAGCUAAUACCGCAUAAAAGUCGACAUUGCAUGAUGUUGACUUGAAAGGUGCAAUUGCAUCACUAAGAGAUGGACCUGCGUUGUAUUAGCUAGUUGGUGAGGUAACGGCUCACCAAGGCGACGAUACAUAGCCGACCUGAGAGGGUGAUCGGCCACACUGGGACUGAGACACGGCCCAGACUCCUACGGGAGGCAGCAGUAGGGAAUCUUCGGCAAUGGGGGCAACCCUGACCGAGCAACGCCGCGUGAGUGAAGAAGGUUUUCGGAUCGUAAAGCUCUGUUGUAAGAGAAGAACGAGUGUGAGAGUGGAAAGUUCACACUGUGACGGUAACUUACCAGAAAGGGACGGCUAACUACGUGCCAGCAGCCGCGGUAAUACGUAGGUCCCGAGCGUUAUCCGGAUUUAUUGGGCGUAAAGCGAGCGCAGGCGGUUAGAUAAGUCUGAAGUUAAAGGCUGUGGCUUAACCAUAGUACGCUUUGGAAACUGUUUAACUUGAGUGCAGAAGGGGAGAGUGGAAUUCCAUGUGUAGCGGUGAAAUGCGUAGAUAUAUGGAGGAACACCGGUGGCGAAAGCGGCUCUCUGGUCUGUAACUGACGCUGA